This 253-nucleotide ribosomal RNA is filed under the name uncultured bacterium. RNAcentral describes it as "partial 16S ribosomal RNA". It matches the Rfam family "Bacterial small subunit ribosomal RNA", at positions 524 to 776 of the family's 1533-position model. The record is from RNAcentral.
UACGUAGGGUGCGAGCGUUGUCCGGAAUUAUUGGGCGUAAAGGGCUCGUAGGCGGUCUGUCGCGUCGGGAGUGAAAACUCAGGGCUUAACCCUGAGCCUGCUUCCGAUACGGGCAGACUAGAGGUAUGCAGGGGAGAACGGAAUUCCUGGUGUAGCGGCGGAAUGCGCAGAUAUCAGGAGGAACACCGGUGGCGAAGGCGGUUCUCUGGGCAUUACCUGACGCUGAGGAGCGAAAGUGUGGGGAGCGAACAGG